AUUGAACGCUGGCGGCAGGCCUAACACAUGCAAGUCGAGCGGAUGACGGGAGCUUGCUCCUUGAUUCAGCGGCGGACGGGUGAGUAAUGCCUAGGAAUCUGCCUGGUAGUGGGGGACAACGUUUCGAAAGGAACGCUAAUACCGCAUACGUCCUACGGGAGAAAGCAGGGGACCUUCGGGCCUUGCGCUAUCAGAUGCGCCUAGGUCGGAUUAGCUAGUAGGUGAGGUAAUGGCUGACCUAGGCGACUAUCCGUAACUGGUCUGAGAGGAUGAUCAGUCACACUGGAACUGAGACACGGUCCAGACUCCUACGGGAGGCAGCAGUGGGGAAUAUUGGACAAGGGACGAAAGCCUGAUCCAGCCAUGCCGCGUGUGUGAAGAAGGUCUCCGGAUUGUAAAGCACUUUAAGUUGGGAGGAAGGGUUGUACGUUAAUACCGUGCAAUUUUGACGUUACCGACAGAAUAAGCACCGGCUAACUCUGUGCCAGCCGCCGCAGUAA
RNAcentral lists this ribosomal RNA (500 nucleotides) under uncultured bacterium. RNAcentral's name for it is "partial 16S ribosomal RNA". It matches the Rfam family "Bacterial small subunit ribosomal RNA", at positions 30 to 523 of the family's 1533-position model. The record is from RNAcentral.